Molecule: transfer RNA, 70 nt
Filed under: Hypoxylon sp. FL1857
Lineage: Eukaryota; Fungi; Ascomycota; Sordariomycetes; Xylariales; Hypoxylaceae
Description: tRNA-Gly
Rfam family: tRNA (bases 4-65)
About the family: Transfer RNA (tRNA) molecules are approximately 80 nucleotides in length.
Source: RNAcentral
UCACAGUGGUUUAGUGGUAAAAUCCAUCGUUGCCAUCGAUGGGCCCCGCGUUCGAUUCGCGGCUGAUGCA